GAUGAAGAACGCAGCGAAAUGCGAUAAGUAGUGUGAAUUGCAGAAUUCAGUGAAUCAUCGAAUCUUUGAACGCACAUUGCGCCCCUUGGUAUUCCAUGGGGCAUGCCUGUUCGAGCGUCAUUUGUAUCUUCAAGCUUUGCUUGGUGUUGGGUGUUUGUCCUGCUCUGUGCGUGGACUCGCCUUAAAUCAAUUGGCAGCCGGUAAUCUGGUGCUAAGAGUGCAGCACAUUGUGCGCUCCUCGCUGUGUAUUGCGGCGUCCAUUAAGCCUACAUUUUUUGCUCUUGACCUCGGAUCAGGUAGGGAUACCCGCUGAACUUAAGCAUAUCAAUAAGCGGAGGA
RNAcentral lists this unclassified non-coding RNA (339 nucleotides) under soil metagenome. RNAcentral describes it as "partial contains 5.8S ribosomal RNA, internal transcribed spacer 2, and large subunit ribosomal RNA". The stretch from base 1 to 120 matches the Rfam family "5.8S ribosomal RNA", at positions 35 to 154 of the family's 154-position model. The record is from RNAcentral.